GCCUGAUCUAGCCAUGCCGCGUGAGUGACGAAGGCCUUAGGGUCGUAAAGCUCUUUCGCCAGAGAUGAUAAUGACAGUAUCUGGUAAAGAAACCCCGGCUAACUCCGUGCCAGCAGCCGCGGUAAUACGGAGGGGGUUAGCGUUGUUCGGAAUUACUGGGCGUAAAGCGCACGUAGGCGGAUUGGAAAGUAUGGGGUGAAAUCCCAGGGCUCAACCCUGGAACUGCCUUGUAAACUCCCAGUCUAGAGUUCGAGAGAGGUGAGUGGAAUUCCAAGUGUAGAGGUGAAAUUCRUAGAUAUUUGGAGGAACACCAGUGGCGAAGGCGGCUCACUGGCUCGAUACUGACGCUGAGGUGCGAAAGUGUGGGGAGCAAACAGGAUUAGAUACCCUGGUAGUCCACACCGUAAACGAUGAAUGCCAGACGUCAGGGGGCUUGCCCUUUGGUGUCACACCUAACGGAUUAAGCAUUCCGCCUGGGGAGUACGGUCGCAAGAUUAAAACUCAA
Molecule: ribosomal RNA, 505 nt
Filed under: uncultured Alphaproteobacteria bacterium
Lineage: Bacteria; Pseudomonadati; Pseudomonadota; Alphaproteobacteria
Description: bacterial SSU rRNA
Rfam family: Bacterial small subunit ribosomal RNA
Source: RNAcentral